This 712-nucleotide ribosomal RNA is filed under the name uncultured Bacilli bacterium. RNAcentral describes it as "bacterial SSU rRNA". It matches the Rfam family "Bacterial small subunit ribosomal RNA", at positions 68 to 761 of the family's 1533-position model. The record is from RNAcentral. Lineage: Bacteria; Bacillati; Bacillota; Bacilli.
GGACCGACGGGAGCUUGCUCCCUUAGGUCAGCGGCGGACGGGUGAGUAACACGUGGGUAACCUGCCUGUAAGACUGGGAUAACUCCGGGAAACCGGGGCUAAUACCGGAUGCUUGAUUGAACCGCAUGGUUCAAUCAUAAAAGGUGGCUUUCAGCUACCACUUACAGAUGGACCCGCGGCGCAUUAGCUAGUUGGUGAGGUAACGGCUCACCAAGGCGACGAUGCGUAGCCGACCUGAGAGGGUGAUCGGCCACACUGGGACUGAGACACGGCCCAGACUCCUACGGGAGGCAGCAGUAGGGAAUCUUCCGCAAUGGACGAAAGUCUGACGGAGCAACGCCGCGUGAGUGAUGAAGGUUUUCGGAUCGUAAAACUCUGUUGUUAGGGAAGAACAAGUACCGUUCGAAUAGGGCGGCACCUUGACGGUACCUAACCAGAAAGCCACGGCUAACUACGUGCCAGCAGCCGCGGUAAUACGUAGGUGGCAAGCGUUGUCCGGAAUUAUUGGGCGUAAAGCGCGCGCAGGCGGUUUCUUAAGUCUGAUGUGAAAGCCCCCGGCUCAACCGGGGAGGGUCAUUGGAAACUGGGGAACUUGAGUGCAGAAGAGGAGAGUGGAAUUCCACGUGUAGCGGUGAAAUGCGUAGAGAUGUGGAGGAACACCAGUGGCGAAGGCGACUCUCUGGUCUGUAACUGACGCUGAGGCGCGAAAGCG